AACAGCACUUCGGUGGCUGACGAGUGGCGCACGGGUGCGUAACGCGUAUACAAUCUGCCUCCUACAGGGGAAUAGCCCAGAGAAAUUUGGAUUAAUGCCCCAUGGCAUAUAUUUUCGGCAUCGUUAAUAUAUUAAAGAUUCAUCGGUAGGAGAUGAGUAUGCGUUCUAUUAGCUAGUAGGUGCGGUAACGGCGCACCUAGGCGACGAUAGAUAGGGGCCCUGAGAGGGGGAUCCCCCACACUGGUACUGAGACACGGACCAGACUCCUACGGGAGGCAGCAGUGAGGAAUAUUGGACAAUGGGCGAGAGCCUGAUCCAGCCAUGCCGCGUGCAGGAAGACUGCCCUAUGGGUUGUAAACUGCUUUUAUACGGGAAGAAACACUCCCUCGUGAGGGGGCUUGACGGUACCGUAAGAAUAAGGAUCGGCUAACUCCGUGCCAGCAGCCGCGGUAAUACGGAGGAUCCAAGCGUUAUCCGGAAUCAUUGGGUUUAAAGGGUCCGUAGGUGGACGGUUAAGUCAGAGGUGAAAUCCUGCAGCUCAACUGUAGAAUUGCCUUUGGUACUGGUCGUCUUGAGUCAUUGUGAAGUGGUUGGAAUAUGUAGUGUAGCGGUGAAAUGCAUAGAUAUUACAUAGAACACCGAUUGCGAAGGCAGAUCACUAACAAUGUACUGACACUGAUGGACGAAAGCGUGGGGAGCGAACAGGAUUAGAUACCCUGGUAGUCCACGCCGUAAACGAUGGUCACUAGCUGUCCGGACCUUGUGUCUGGGUGGCUAAGCGAAAGUGAUAAGUGACCCACC
RNAcentral lists this ribosomal RNA (801 nucleotides) under uncultured bacterium. RNAcentral's name for it is "bacterial SSU rRNA". It matches the Rfam family "Bacterial small subunit ribosomal RNA", at positions 70 to 873 of the family's 1533-position model. The record is from RNAcentral.